CAGUAGCCGCGGGAAUACGUAGGUGGCAAGCGUUGUCCGGAAUUAUUGGGCGUAAAGGGAGCGCAGGCGGUUUAGUAAGUCUGAAGUUAAAGGCAUUGGCUCAACCAAUGUAUGCUUUGGAAACUGUUAGACUUGAGUGCAGAAGGGGAGAGUGGAAUUCCAUGUGUAGCGGUGAAAUGCGUAGAUAUAUGGAGGAACACCGGUGGCGAAAGCGGCUCUCUGGUCUGUCACUGACGCUGAGGCUCGAAAGCGUGGGUAGCGAACAGGAUUAGAUACCCCCGUAGUCCCUGUCUCUUAUACA
This 301-nucleotide ribosomal RNA is filed under the name uncultured bacterium. Its description in RNAcentral is "partial 16S ribosomal RNA". It matches the Rfam family "Bacterial small subunit ribosomal RNA", at positions 509 to 808 of the family's 1533-position model. The record is from RNAcentral.